GCGAACGGGUGAGUAAUGCAUCGGAACAUAGUCCAUUCGUGGGGGAUAGCCCGGCGAAAGCCGGAUUAAUACCGCAUACGCCCUGAGGGGGAAAGCGGGGGACCUGCAAGGGCCUCGCGCGAAUGGGUUGGCCGAUGUCCGAUUAGCUAGUUGGUGGGGUAAAGGCUUAACAAGGCGAUGAUCGGUAACUGGUCUGAGAGGAUGAUCAGCCACACUGGGACUGAAACACGGCCCAGACUCCUACGGGAGGCAGCAGUGGGGAAUUUUGGACAAUGGGGGAAACCCUGAUCCAGCCAUUCCGCGUGAGUGAAGAAGGCCUUCGGGUUGUAAAGCUCUUUUGUCCGGAGCGAAACGGUUACGGUGAAUAUCCGUGACUACUGACGGUACCGGAAGAAUAAGCACCGGCUAACUACGUGCCAGCAGCCGCGGUAAUACGUAGGGUGCGAGCGUUAAUCGGAAUUACUGGGCGUAAAGCGUGCGCAGGCGGUUUUGUAAGCCAGAUGUGAAAUCCCCGGGCUUACCUGGGAAUGGCAUUUGGGACUGCAAGGCUUGAGUGCGGCAGAGGAGACUGGAAUUCCUGGGUGUAGCAGUGAAAUG
RNAcentral lists this ribosomal RNA (597 nucleotides) under uncultured bacterium. RNAcentral's name for it is "bacterial SSU rRNA". It matches the Rfam family "Bacterial small subunit ribosomal RNA", at positions 98 to 688 of the family's 1533-position model. The record is from RNAcentral.